This 253-nucleotide ribosomal RNA is filed under the name uncultured bacterium. RNAcentral describes it as "partial 16S ribosomal RNA". It matches the Rfam family "Bacterial small subunit ribosomal RNA", at positions 524 to 776 of the family's 1533-position model. The record is from RNAcentral.
UACGGGGGGGGCAAGCGUUGUUCGGAAUUACUGGGCGUAAAGGGCUCGUAGGCGGCCAACUAAGUCAUACGUGAAAUCCCUCGGCUUAACCGGGGAACUGCGUCUGAUACUGGAUGGCUUGAGUUCGGGAGAGGGAUGCGGAUUUCCAGGUGUAGCGGUGAAAUGCGUAGAUAUCGGGAGGAACACCGGUGGCGAAGGCGGUUCUCUGGGCCUGUACUGACGCUGAGGAGCGAAAGCGUGGGGAGCGAACAGG